This 431-nucleotide ribosomal RNA is filed under the name uncultured bacterium. RNAcentral's name for it is "bacterial SSU rRNA". It matches the Rfam family "Bacterial small subunit ribosomal RNA", at positions 354 to 796 of the family's 1533-position model. The record is from RNAcentral.
GUGGGGAAUAUUGCGCUAAUGCGCGAAAGCGUGACGCAGCGACACCGCGUGGGGGAUGAAGGCCCUCGGGUUGUAAACCCCUUUCGGCAGGGACGAAGCGAAAGUGACGGUACCUGCAGAAGAAGUCCCGGCUAACUACGUGCCAGCAGCCGCGGUAACACGUAGGGGACGAGCGUUGUCCGGAUUUAUUGGGCGUAAAGCGCGCGUAGGCGGUCGUGCAAGUCGGUUGUGAAAACCCGGGGCUCAACCCCGGGCCUGCGUCCGAUACUGCUCGACUCGAGGUAGGUAGGGGAGAUCGGAAUUCCUGGUGUAGCGGUGAAAUGCGCAGAUAUCAGGAGGAACACCGGUGGCGAAGGCGGAUCUCUGGGCCUUACCUGACGCUGAGGCGCGAAAGCUAGGGGAGCGAACAGGAUUAGAAACCCUAGUAGUCC